Molecule: ribosomal RNA, 249 nt
Filed under: uncultured bacterium
Lineage: Bacteria
Description: partial 16S ribosomal RNA
Rfam family: Bacterial small subunit ribosomal RNA
Source: RNAcentral
UACGUAGGGACCGAGCGUUGUCCGGAAUCAUUGGGCGUAAAGAGCGUGUAGGCGGCUAUUUAAGUCCUGACGUGAAAUCCUGCGGCUCAACCGCAGACGGUCGUGGGAAACUGGAUGGCUAGAGUGCGGGAGAGGAGAGUGGAAUUCCCGGUGUAGCGGUGAAAUGCGCAGAUAUCGGGAAGAACACCCGUGGCGAAGGCGGCUCUCUGGAACGCAACUGACGCUGAGACGCGAAAGCGUGGGGAGCAA